AUUGAACGCUGGCGGCAUGCUUUACACAUGCAAGUCGAACGGCAGCGCGGGCUUCGGCCUGGCGGCGAGUGGCGAACGGGUGAGUGAUACAUCGGAACGUGCCCAGUAGUGGGGGAUAGCUCGGCGAAAGCCGGAUUAAUACCGCAUACGACCUGAGGGUGAAAGCGGGGGAUCUUCGGACCUCGCGCUAUUGGAGCGGCCGAUGGCAGAUUAGCUAGUUGGUGGGGUAAAGGCCUACCAAGGCGACGAUCUGUAGCUGGUCUGAGAGGACGACCAGCCACACUGGGACUGAGACACGGCCCAGACUCCUACGGGAGGCAGCAGUGGGGAAUUUUGGACAAUGGGUGAAAGCCUGAUCCAGCAAUGCCGCGUGUGUGAUGAAGGCCUUCGGGUUGUAAAGCACUUUUGGCGGGAACGAAAAGGACUGUGCCAAUACCACGGUUCGAUGACGGUACCCGCAGAAUAAGCACCGGCUAACUACGUG
RNAcentral lists this ribosomal RNA (484 nucleotides) under uncultured bacterium. Its description in RNAcentral is "partial 16S ribosomal RNA". It matches the Rfam family "Bacterial small subunit ribosomal RNA", at positions 29 to 507 of the family's 1533-position model. The record is from RNAcentral.